AAUCCAUAGGUUAAUGAGGCGAACCGGGGGAACUGAAACAUCUAAGUACCCCGAGGAAAAGAAAUCAACCGAGAUUCCCCCAGUAGCGGCGAGCGAACGGGGAGGAGCCCAGAGCCUGAAUCAGCAUGUGUGUUAGUGGAAGCGUCUGGAAAGGCGCGCGAUACAGGGUGACAGCCCCGUACACAAAAGCGCAUGUGCUGUGAGCUCGAUGAGUAGGGCGGGACACGUGGUAUCCUGUCUGAAUAUGGGGGGACCAUCCUCCAAGGCUAAAUACUCCUGACUGACCGAUAGUGAACCAGUACCGUGAGGGAAAGGCGAAAAGAACCCCGGCGAGGGGAGUGAAAAAGAACCUGAAACCGUGUACGUACAAGCAGUGGGAGCACAGGUUUACCUGUGUGACUGCGUACCUUUUGUAUAAUGGGUCAGCGACUUAUAUUCUGUAGCAAGGUUAACCGAAUAGGGGAGCCGGAGGGAAACCGAGUCUUAAUUGGGCGUUAAGUUGCAGGGUAUAGACCCGAAACCCGGUGAUCUAGCCAUGGGCAGGUUGAAGGUUGGGUAACACUAACUGGAGGACCGAACCGACUAAUGUUGAAAAAUUAGCGGAUGACCUGUGGCUGGGGGUGAAAGGCCAAUCAAACCGGGAGAUAGCUGGUUCUCCCCGAAAGCUAUUUAGGUAGCGCCUCGUGAAUUCAUCUCCGGGGGUAGAGCACUGUUUCGGCUAGGGGGCUAUCCCGGCUUACCAACCCGAUGCAAACUGCGAAUACCGGAG
RNAcentral lists this ribosomal RNA (769 nucleotides) under Salmonella enterica subsp. enterica serovar Enteritidis. RNAcentral's name for it is "partial 23S ribosomal RNA". It matches the Rfam family "Bacterial large subunit ribosomal RNA", at positions 161 to 968 of the family's 2925-position model. The record is from RNAcentral. Lineage: Bacteria; Pseudomonadati; Pseudomonadota; Gammaproteobacteria; Enterobacterales; Enterobacteriaceae.